GUAGGUGAACCUGCGGAAGGAUCAUUAUAAAAUUUUCAUAUAUUAAUUUAUUUUUAAUAUAUAAAAUUAUAUACAAAAUGUAUUCAAAACCCACACUCUUUAUAACCAAAAAAAAAUAAUAUAUAUUUUUAAUAUAUAUAUAAAAAAACAACUUUCAACAACGGAUCUCUUGGCUCUC
This 178-nucleotide unclassified non-coding RNA is filed under the name rhizosphere metagenome. Its description in RNAcentral is "partial ribosomal RNA internal transcribed spacer region". The record is from RNAcentral.